CACACCAACAAACCCAGUUGGCCCUAACUAAACACCUCGGGUGCCCGGCGGCCGGAGCGCCUUCACUGCUCGGUCGCCAUGGCGUCCCUCGUCCCCCGGCUCCUUGGCCGCCGGACUCUGCAACCCGCCGUUGCUCUACGCUCUCCACGCGAUCCUUGGAUGCGUUUCCACGGCGCAAAUCCCCCACGCCCCUGCCCGCUGUUCCGGCCUUCCCCGGGGGUUGAUGGAUGCGCGAGAGCUGCGCGGAGAUGGUGGUUUCUCUCGCCGGUAAGGCACGGGAGCACGGCGGUGACGCUGAACACGGACGGCGGCUUUGCGCGGUUCUCCGUCGGAGAUCCGGGCCCGAAUCAGAAUGGGGGGCAGAAUCAGCCGCCGGCGAAGAAGAAGAUGUCCAAGAAGUCCAAGGUCAACCAGCUCAAGUGGUAUCGCCUCAAGGCCAAAAAGAAGAUGAAGUCGCCCAACCCCGAAGUCAGGAUAAGAUACAAGCUCGGAAAGGCCAAGAGGAAAGAAGAAUGGCUGAUUGAGAAACUCAGGAAGUACGAGGCCCCGAGGGCUCCGGAGCCGGUUCACGACCCUGAGAUUCUGACCGAGGAGGAGAAGUUCUAUCUGAAACGGACUGGGGAGAAGAAAAAGAACUAUGUUCCUGUUGGGAGGAGAGGGGUGUUUGGUGGUGUGGUUCUCAACAUGCACCUCCACUGGAAGAAGCAUGAGACUAUGCAAGUAGUCUGCAAGCCCUGUCGACCUGGGCAAGUGUAUGAGUACGCAGAGGAGCUGGCGAGGCUCAGCAAAGGGACAGUUAUUGAUAUUAAACCUAAUAAUACCAUUAUCUUUUAUCGUGGAAAGAAUUAUGUGCAGCCAAAGGUUAUGUCACCUCCUGAUACUCUUUCUAAGCAGAAGGCCUUGGAGAAAUAUAGGUAUGAACAGUCUCUGGAACAUACCAGUAAAUUUGUUGAGCAGCUGGAACAGGAGCUUGAAGAUUACCAGAAGCAUGUUGCUUUAUUUAAGAAGCGCGAAGGGGCUAUUUCUGAGCAAAUCAGCAAUGAAGACUCUGCUGUGGAUGACCUCACAACUAACUCAGAUACCGAUUGAAUUGCCUGCUUCCUCAAUUCACAUCUCAUAUUCUUUCCGCGAUGAAGGGUUCUCACGCUUCCUCAUAAAAUGGAAAAAGGGACAGUUAGUAGUUCAAGAGCUAUUAUACUGCUAGAGUACCAUGAACCCAGAGGAGCUAUACCUAUGAGGAUCAAGUACCAUAAACAUAUUUAUGGGAUGGUCACAUUAAGAGUUAGUAAAGUUUACGUUUGAAGAUUUAAGGUAGUAGUGGAUGUUGAUGGUGGAGGAGAUGAGUUGAACUUUUUGAGAGAGAUGGGCUUGCCUGUUGCUUUGAAAAAUCAACUUCGGUUAUCGCUGCAAAGGAAGCCUCUCAAAUGGAAACUGAACAUAUGAAUGAGACAAAAGGAAGAAGAUGGAAUACACGGAGUCACAAGCAAACGAGCUAAGAGUUAUGGUUACAAGAAGAUAGAGUUUAGUUUGGACGUUGUUAAGGAAGUAGAGUUGAGCAAGAGAACAACUUUCAAAUAUGUUCGUAACAAGCUACAUAUGGCAAAUAAUACCUUGUGGCAAAGAUUAAAGGAAGGAAGGCUCAUGUGUCACACCAAUGCCAUCAAGUCCAUGUUGACCGAGAGAACAAGUUAGGCAAGAUACAAAUUUGUUUAUUGAUGUUGCAUAGCAUUACAGGAGAGCUUGUAUUCGAAGGAAUGUGAAGUGUCAUACACAUUGAUAAAAAUUGGUUGUACCGCACUCAUCAUACUUAGAUUAUAACUGGGCACUAGAUGUGGAUGAUCCCUAUCGCGGCAAGCAGAGCUAAGGUUUUAUUGAGAAAUUUAAGGUCUUGGCAGUAGUAGCAGGGUCAAUACGACAUUGAUUGUACCAUGACGUUUGUUGGAAGAUAAGCAUUUGGCCUUUCUCGUAUGAAAAGCUGGCGAAAAGGAGUAGUGAAAGACGUGAGGUGGGAUCAAUGGUGAACAAGGUUCUGCUGGCAUUGACACGGGAUGUAAGCCAUGAUUAUUUGGUUAAUAGACUUCUUCCCGCCAUAAAGAUAUGUGAUUAGCGAGUGAGUGUGGUUGUGCCAUAUACAUGUUGCAAUGCAACGCGAAUACUCACAUUCUAGUAAAUGAUCUUUUGUUUCCAGCAUUUAUGGCGAAUGGGUGUGACAUGCGGCUUACAUGCCAUCUGCGAACACCUCAUUUGAACAUCCAAGACGUACGAAUCUUCGCAGCAUUGUAAACACUUUGAAAAAUGUCGUCCCGUUCACUCUUUAACAUUGUUGUUAAAAGCGUAUGAGUACCCGACAAAGAGAACCAAUUGUAUAUUCCUUACUAUAUGGGCAUGCAUGCGAGAAGUAUUGAAGAAGAAAUGGGUUAAUCGUUACAAGUUGUGCGGUAGAACUUGCUUCCACAUGUGGAGAACCUUGCAACAAUUCCCUCUCGAAUGCAUGCUUGUAGAUGAAGGAAACUAUAUAAUUGCUUCUCUUCGUAGGGUACUCUAUGCGCUUGGCGUACCUUAGCAACAAUGUUAGUGAGUGAACCAGAAGACAUUUUUGAGAAAGUGUUUACAGUCCUGCAGAGAAUCCUACGACAAGGAUGUUCAUAUCAAAUGAGUUCGCGGCUAUGGCAUGUAAACCAAAUAUCACAUCCAUCAGCCUGAACCCUGCACAAACAAAAGAACAUUCAUGGGAAUGGAGUUCUUUGUGUUUGUUGGUGCAAGGUUUUGCCCACUUGUGUUUUGGAGAUUGUUGCUAGUGCACACAAAGAGAAAUAGUCCAGGCAAGCUCGAGGAGAAUGUUGUAUUCGGAGUCAAUUUGAGGAACUUCACCGAAGACUUUCUGCGUUGCAGAGAAGGAUGAGCUACAUUUCGUGAAGACAUGUUUGCGUGAAGAUUGUGGCGAAGAAGAUUGACCUCUUAAAAUUAUUGAUGACGUAAAGCAAUAUCUGUUCGGAGUGUCCGAGGAAAGAUGACUGCUAUCGAAUAGAUUGAAGGCGAAGUGAAGACGUAGCAUUCAUUUUGUUGUUCUCCUUCCCUUUCUUUAAGUCAUAGGACCUGUGUACUAUUAAUAGGGGUAUAGGUUAUCGAAGAUUAGGUCCGGUAUGAUGCUUUGCCGAAACCUAUGAAAGAAUGAGAGAUAUCUCUUUAUGCUUCGAAUGCUUACCUGCAGAAGACCUUGUUCUUCGGUGCUGCAGGAGAUAUCUUUCAGACUGAUGAGUUAGCAUUUCUUGCUCCGCAAAGAAUGUCACCGUUGUGCUCAAAUUCCAAUCAUUGGAAUCGUGUCGUUCGGCCAUUGGUUGAUUCGCAUGUCCAAUUUGGUCAUUUUCCAUCAGGGAAGGCUGCGGCUAUAAAUAGCCACCCCGCUCGAAUGUUGUCCGUUGGCUGCUCCGCUUAAGAUUUCUGAGAAGAUUGAUUGAGAAUCCCCUCUCUGAGUGAUUUGAGUUUAAAAUCCACCAAGAGAAAACCAAGAGCCGAAACAGUGGUUGAGCAUCACAGUAGUUCCGAGUCAAGGUUCUUGUACCUAUUACUCUUAGAGCUGCGCACUCUCUAGACGGAUAGGUGUCGACUUAAGUGACGAAGAGUAAUCGUCUUCACCAAGCAAAGUCUUUAGCAACCAAGAGUAGUUGUGGUUCGCGAAGAAGUCUCUCAAAGGUUUGGAGAUCGCCGACAACCACGAGUGAAAUUCUCUGGAGUCUGAUCAGCUCCUAGUUGAAGGAGAAUAGGACGGAGAGAGGUUUUGAUGCGGAGCAUCCUACGGACAUCACCAUGUCAAGAGUCCGUUUGGCAUACAUAAAGGUGAAUCUUCUCCUUUAGUCGUGUUCACUUGACCCCU
RNA transcript from Triticum aestivum (bread wheat), 3874 nucleotides. RefSeq lists it as uncharacterized. The transcript has 6 exons. Lineage: Eukaryota; Viridiplantae; Streptophyta; Magnoliopsida; Poales; Poaceae. The record is from RefSeq and is a predicted model, not a curated record.